Molecule: unclassified non-coding RNA, 275 nt
Filed under: Hevea brasiliensis (rubber tree)
Lineage: Eukaryota; Viridiplantae; Streptophyta; Magnoliopsida; Malpighiales; Euphorbiaceae
Source: RNAcentral
AAGGAGUCCAUUGCUCUUGGGAUCAAGACCGACCCAUGAUAAAGCAGUGACACUAGAUUUGAACUGUGAGAGAGUUGUUAACUGCUUAACUGAAGAUUCAGCUGUGACAGCCCAUAUCUUGACAGUCUUAUCCCUAGAGCCUGUUGCAAACUCAUGACCAUGUGGGUUCCAAGAACAUGACCAUAUGAUUCUUCUGUGUGCCUCCUGCCUUGAUAUAAGCUCAUGGUGGAUUUCAUCCGAGCCUGAAAGGAUUCAGCAAAUAAUUUAUAUUAAAA